GAAUGGGGCCUCGACCUUUUUCAUCUUGUGAAACCCAGACUCAAUGGUGUCACCUCCUUCAGCAGGACAGAGGCUAAGAGGAGUCCCUGUGUGUGCAGCUGGAGCCUUCAGAUUCUCUUCAGGGGAAGAGUCCACAUCCCACCUCAUCAUGUCCCGAAGAAGCCAGCGCCUCACGCGCUACUCCCAGGGUGACGAUGACGGCAGCAGCAGCAGCGGAGGGAGCUCGGUGGCUGGGAGUCAGAGCACCCUGUUUAAAGACAGCCCUCUCAGGACCUUGAAGAGGAAAUCCAGCAACAUGAAGCGCCUGUCCCCAGCGCCACAGCUGGGCCCGUCCUCUGAUGCACACACCUCCUACUACAGUGAGUCGCUGGUCCGCGAGUCCUGGUUCCCACCCAGGAGCUCCCUGGAGGAACUGCAUGGUGACGCCAACUGGGGUGAGUGUGGAGCCCUCCGUCCCGGGGCUUUGCUUCCUCGGCCUCCCGUGAGAUACUCCUCACAGUGUCCCCUGCAGUCCCCGGGAUUCCCUCCUCAGAGCACCUCUCUGCCCAGACCCCACUUUUCAGAAGCUCUUGGAGGCCCAGAAGAGCCCCUGGUUCUUCCCUGCACAGGUGAGGACCUGCGGGUGCGGAGGAGGAGAGGCACGGGCGGCUCAGAGAGCAGCAGGGCCAGCGGGCUCGUGGGGCGCAAGGCCACCGAGGACUUCCUGGGCUCUUCCUCGGGCUACUCCUCUGAGGACGACUAUGUGG
RNAcentral lists this small RNA (746 nucleotides) under Pan troglodytes (chimpanzee). Its description in RNAcentral is "retained intron". The record is from RNAcentral. Lineage: Eukaryota; Metazoa; Chordata; Mammalia; Primates; Hominidae.